This 268-nucleotide long non-coding RNA is filed under the name Vigna radiata. RNAcentral describes it as "long non-coding RNA (VRAD_LNC011412)". Lineage: Eukaryota; Viridiplantae; Streptophyta; Magnoliopsida; Fabales; Fabaceae. The record is from RNAcentral.
GGCGGUGUACUACAUAAUGAAAAGAUCGUAAAAUUCUGACCAUAUGAUAGACAAACUAAGACAAUGUUAUAUAUUUUAGAAAUAACACAACCAAUUUCUGGUAUGAUCAUCCAUUUGUCCAUAUUAGCCUGUAAGGGUGACAAAUAGGAUGAAACAUGUCCGUACCCAUCCCCAACAAAGCAACAAUGCAUCUAUAACCACAAUUACCAUUAGCAACGACAUUAACAACAUUGAUAAUAUAAAGGUGACAAAUAGGAUGAAAUUGAUC